GGCCAUCUUGUCUCCCCUUCGCCAGGUGCGGUGGCGUGCCUCCUGGCAGCCUCGCAGCUGCUGCGAUCUUUUGGGCUGCAGUGGCUCCGAUUUCGCAGCUUCCUCUGCUGCCGCCCUCGUGCUGCCGACAGCCUGUGGACCGGCGUGCUCCUGCCACGGAUGUGGAUCCGGAUCAUCCCUGCCUGUAGAAAACAAGGUCAAACCUGUCCCCGUUCAGAACACCCUGCACAGCACUGUCAAUCCAGGGCACUAAAACCUUCUGUCCGAGGAAGUAUGCGGUGACUCAGUCGCUUGAAAAAGAACUUGGCAGAGACACUUCAUCAGGCCCAAAAGGCCAGGACUUUAUACGUGACUCAACGAACAUGACAAUCUUGUCUGACUGCUGACAGGACACGACCUUCUGGUUGAUAUAUUGGACUCUGUUGGCUAUGAAAAUAUUUCAGAGUGCUGAAGAGUAUGUCAGUAGGCUGAAUUCUGACCCACCUGAUCAGAGUGAAUGGUUUUCCUUACCUAAUGGGUAUAAGGUACAAUGUGCCGGACAAAGAGUAGUCUUGUUCAUCUUGAAUAUGAUUAUUUUUGGGUCUGUGGAGAGAGUGCCUUACCAGCAUACCUGCUUCAGUCCUCAUCCUGCAAAUGAGUAUGGCAAGAUUUCUUGGCAGGAUGGUGAAGCUGUUGGAUUUUACACCUUCACAUGAAAAGGCAGUCUGACUGACAGCUGUGUAAGUCGUUGUUAUCAGCUCCUCAUUCUUGACACCUUGUUUGUCCGAAAGAACUGGAGGAGAAAAGACUGGCCUUGGAGAUGCUGCAGAACUUUCGGCAAGGAGGAUAGUGGUGGGAAUCUGGUCUGCAAUCUCUACAGCCUUGUACCAAGUUUUCCUCCUGUUGGAUUACCACCUUAUCAUGGUCAGGGGGUUUGCGUGCCUCAGUGACCCUAAGAGCUACACCAGCAGAAGCUUAACCUUCAGAUCAGCUGAAGGAAAUCCUGCCUGAGUCUAAGGAUGUCACUUCCAGUUCCACCUUCACUGACAUUACUUCCAGUUCCAGUUCCACCAGUUCUCCUAUAAUGGCAAUGUUCAAUGCUAUUACUCUGUUCUGUUUUGGACUCCAGUCUUCACUCAGCCUACUUGUUAACAAGUUUACGGGCUGGCUACCCCAAACUUCAUUCUGUUUCUUCUGCUCUUUAUUUCUGCAGUUGGCAUAUUCAACAGGAUUUGCUCCGAAGAUGAGCCAGGAGCAGGACCUCGACACAAUUCUGGUUAAUAUGGCCUCAAAGCACCUGAACCUGAAACUCCAGGUGUGGGAGAAUAAUGAAUGCAGAAUCCGAGGCGUGAGUACAAGCACGUGUCACUGUCCACCAAGGUGUGGGCUCUGUCCCUCCAGAUUAACGACAAUAUUGAAUCUUAUUUUUUAAUAUUUGAACGUACAGCCAACAGGAAUCACUGGGAGUGUGCGGAAUGGGCUGACAUAAUAGUGCCAUUCCUAAAGGGAGAAGUACAGAAGACUUCCUAUGACCUCGCGGAGGAGACAGUCGCCAAUUAUGGUGCUCUGAAGACUGAGGUCCUCAAAGGGUAUGGCGUUUCCCCGGACCAGUAGGCAAGAUUUGUCAUGAAUGGCGAUUUGACCCAGAGAAGCCAACACACUCACAGGACUUUGAUUUGUGAAGCAAGGCAGGACACUUGCUGCAGUCUAUAGUAAAUGACUUGCGACAAGUUCCUGAGCAAAUCUCUUUUGAUCUUCUAAUAAAUGCCCUUCCUGAUUACCUUGCCCAGCCGGUCCAGAGGCAGUCUGUUAAAAAUACAGAGGCUUCCAUCGUUACCACAGAACAUCACUGGGCAACUAUCUUGGAGGGCAGAAUGGUCUAAAAGCCAAACCAGGAUAGGAUAUGUUCUGAAUGAAGAGCCUGCCUGCCGCAGAAUGGAGACCAUGUCGAAGCCAAAGUACAAGCCCACAAACCCCCGUGCUAUUUCAAAUGCGGGGACGUUUGGUACACCAUACCCCCCCACUGCCCUCAACUCAGUGGGCCUAUGGAAUGUAGCUGGGUGAAGGGAAAAGGGUAUUGUUCCCUUGCUAACCCUCUGUCUCUUCCCUGCACAUGAGUGGUACUAGUUAAUGUGCAUAAGGUGACAGCUUUAUAGAUUCUCCCAGUAGCAUUUCCAUUUUUGCUUGUUAUUUUGUGUUACAGCAACAGUAGUUGGAUUGUAAGACCAGUCUGAACUGUAUCUACCAUGAAAUCCAAUUGUACAGUUUUCAUCAAAUACAAGGGCUCACUAAAAACACUCACAGUAGCAGUCCUCCAGAAUCCUCCAUAUCCGGUGAUACUGUGGCAAGACUUGUCUGACAUUAAAAGUGGUUUUACACAAACCACUCCUAAGAAGGUUUUGGGCCUUGUAACAGAUGGGAAUAUUUCAUCACAAGCUGCCUCCAUGCUGUGUUCACAGCUGGCCUUGAGGAGUCAUGUCGUAAGACAAAUCUCAGGAUGAAACCAUGUUGAUUGAGGUCGACUCUGAUCCUCUCACUACAUUACAAUUUCAAUUCAGGUAAACUCUGGCCUCCUUAAAAGAGGAGCAAUGGAAUGAUGAUUUCAUUAAGCUUGUGAAAAAUGCAGUCAUUCUGGUUAAUUUCCAACACAUUCAGCAUCCUAUUCCACAGAGCCCACACUUUGCCCUGAAUAACAGUCUUCUCUAUUGAGGAGCCAAGUGUGAGGGGGAGAUUCGAUCAUUGUUGUUAGUGCCACAGUCUUACUGGUGGAAAGUCUGUGAACUAGCACUCUCCCAUCUUCUAUGAGCCCAUUUGGGAACUGAAAAGACUCUAGAGCACCUUAAGCUCUGAUUCGGGGAUUAAUGAGGAGGUUUGAUGCUUUUGCACUUCCUGUCCGGACUGUCAAUUGAGCAAAAUUCCUAAAACGGACCAAGCUAUGCUAGUCCCAUUUCCCCUUAUUCAUAUUCCCUUUGAGUGAAUCAGAGUUCACCUAGUAGGACCCCAAGAGUCCUCGGCUAGAGGACAUAAAUAUAUUUUCGUCCUUGUUGAUUAUGCUACCCGAUAUCCUGAAGCUGUCCCUCUGCAUACAGCUGCAGAGAGUCGUCAUCCCUAAAGAAGUCCUAACAGACAAAGAGAUACCUUUUACCAUGAAGACAUUCAGGGAAAUGGCCAAGUUACUCCAGGUGAAGCAUUUAAAAAACCUGGUAUACCAUCCUCAAAGCAAAGGUGUUAUAGAGAAGUUUAACCAGACCCUAAAACAAAUUCUAUGCAAAGUGGUCAGUGAGGACGGAAGGAACUGGGACCAGUUGCUUCCCCUUGUAUUAUUUGCCUAUUGGGAAGUCCUCUAAGCCUCCAUGAUUUUCUCACCUUUUGAAAUAUUAUAUGGGCAACAACCCUGCGGCAUAUUGGACAUUCUAAAAAAAGCUUUGGAGACCAGCUUGAGGAGAUAGGCGAAGGACCUUACAACACAUUAUCUACUACAACUGACAGCGAAAGUGGGAGCGAAGAAGGAAAUGAGGUGAGCAGUGAAAAUUCAAUGCUCUUAAGUGGCACAUCUGAUCCGGGAAGUGCCUCAUCAACAACACAGCCUGUCCUGUAUGAAAGAAAAUCAGAAAGUAAGAAAGAAAUGAGAGUAAUGGGGAAUGGUGAUGACAAACACAAGGCAAACUUCACAUAUUGUCGCUCUCUUGUGGUUGAAAUACAAAGAUGCAGUUCAUAAAUACUGUAAAAAGAUGUACCUAUGGUAAAAACGAUCUCUCAAAUACUCAGCAUAUCAUUGUGUGCUACAACUGCUAUACAUUAAUGUCCACUUUGAAAGGCACUAUAUGAAAAAGAACAAAAGUAAAAAAGAAUGAUAAAAAGGUGCUUUAGUGCUGUAUAACAGCAUCCAGUAUAAAAGAUACUACAAGAUGUAAAUAAAUAUUAACAGUCAUUAAGAGGUAUAAAAUAAUGUCCAAUAUGAAAAUGAGAUGAUCAAUAACAAAAGGUAAAGUUGACGUCUUGUCGCCCUCUUCUGGUAGCCGUAGAAAGUUCCAGUACAUAAAAAUUAUUUUUAGAAGAUGCGCUUUUGGUCAAAAAAAAAAAAAUUUCUUUCUAACUAAGAAUAACUGCAUGUGAUACAAGUGCCAUACAUUAGUGUCCACACUAACAGGUAAUAUACUAAAAAAAAAAGAAACUAACGAAUAACAGUCAUCAAGCGCUAUAUAAUAGUACCCAGUGUGAUAGCAGCUAUAGGAACAAAUGAAAUAUUGAAGUUUCUUUAGAGAACCAUAAAAGUGUCCAAUAUGAAAGACGCUAUAUGAAAGAAAGAAAAAAACAAAGAACGACUAGACCUUCAUUAAGUAGUAUACAAUAUUGUCAUUUAUGAAAGGUGUUAUAUGAAGUAAAAAAGACAGAAACUAAAAGAAACGAGAGUAAUGGCAAAUGAUGAUAAAUAACAAAAUUCAAAAUUGCCAUCUUGUUGCCCUCUUGUGGUAGAUAUGCAACAUCGCAGUACAUAAGUACUAUUUUUCGUUGUGUUUGUUUUUUGAAGAUACGCCUGUGGUCAAGCCUACUGUACGUCUCGCUCAUUGACUUGGCAUACCUGUAAGAGAUGUCCAGUAUUUUAUGUACAGGGAAUGGUUGUAGAAAUGCAAUGUAUAAAACUGUAAUCUUUAUUUCUGCUUUAAUUGUUAUUAACACAGUUCAAGUAGGGACUUCAGCAGUGUAUUUAAAAAAA
Molecule: long non-coding RNA, 4696 nt
Organism: Polypterus senegalus (gray bichir)
Lineage: Eukaryota; Metazoa; Chordata; Cladistia; Polypteriformes; Polypteridae
Exons: 7
Source: RefSeq, a predicted model, not a curated record